RNAcentral lists this ribosomal RNA (254 nucleotides) under uncultured bacterium. RNAcentral's name for it is "partial 16S ribosomal RNA". It matches the Rfam family "Bacterial small subunit ribosomal RNA", at positions 524 to 776 of the family's 1533-position model. The record is from RNAcentral.
UACGUAGGGUGCGAGCGUUGUCCGGAAUUAUUGGGCGUAAAGAGCUCGUAGGCGGUGUGUCACGUCGAUCGUGAAAACUUACAGCUUAACUGUGAGCGUGCGGUCGAUACGGGCAUCACUGGAGUUCGGCAGGGGAGACUGGAAUUCCUGGUGUAGCGGUGAAAUGCGCAGAUAUCAGGAGGAACACCGGUGGCGAAGGCGGGAUCCUGGGCCAGUACUGACGCUGAGGAGCGAAAGCGUGGGGAGCAAACAGG